UGGCUCAGGACGAACGCUGGCGGCGUGCCUAAUACAUGCAAGUCGAACGGUCUUUCUAUGGAAGCUUGCUUCCACUGAGAAGAUAGUGGCGAACGGGUGAGUAACACGUGGGUAACCUGCCCAUAAGAGGGGGGAUAACAUCCGGAAACGGGUGCUAAUACCGCAUAGUUUUCUUGAUCGCAUGAUCGGGAAAGGAAAGACGGCCUUUGUGCUGUCGCUUAUGGAUGGACCCGCGGCGUAUUAGUUAGUUGGUGAGGUAACGGCUCACCAAGACGAUGAUACGUAGCCGACCUGAGAGGGUGAUCGGCCACAUUGGGACUGAGACACGGCCCAAACUCCUACGGGAGGCAGCAGUAGGGAAUCUUCCGCAAUGGACGAAAGUCUGACGGAGCAACGCCGCGUGAGUGAAAGAAGGUUUUCGGAUCGUAAAACUCUGUUGUCAGAGAAGAACAAGUUGGAGAGUAACUGCUCCAGCCUUGACGGUAUCUGACCAGAAAGCCACGGCUAACUACGUGCCAGCCGCCGC
This 526-nucleotide ribosomal RNA is filed under the name uncultured bacterium. Its description in RNAcentral is "bacterial SSU rRNA". It matches the Rfam family "Bacterial small subunit ribosomal RNA", at positions 20 to 518 of the family's 1533-position model. The record is from RNAcentral.